Molecule: ribosomal RNA, 398 nt
Filed under: uncultured bacterium
Lineage: Bacteria
Description: bacterial SSU rRNA
Rfam family: Bacterial small subunit ribosomal RNA
Source: RNAcentral
AACGAACGCUGGCGGCAGGCCUAACACAUGCAAGUCGAACGCCGUAGCAAUACGGAGUGGCAGACGGGUGAGUAACGCGUGGGACCUUCCCAAUGGUACGGAAUAGCUCAGGGAAACUUGGGGUAAUACCGUAUAAGCCCGAGAGGGGAAAGUAUUUAUCGCCAUUGGAUGGGCCCGCGUAGGAUUAGCUAGUUGGUGAGGUAACGGCUCACCAAGGCGACGAUCCUUAGCUGGUCUGAGAGGACGACCAGCCACACUGGGACUGAGACACGGCCCAGACUCCUACGGGAGGCAGCAGUGGGGAAUAUUGGACAAUGGGCGCAAGCCUGAUCCAGCCAUGCCGCGUGAGUGAUGAAGGCCCUUAGGGGUUGUAAAGGCUCUUUUUGGGCGGGGACGAU